This 160-nucleotide microRNA precursor is filed under the name Oryza brachyantha (malo sina). RNAcentral's name for it is "MIR812 microRNA precursor family". It matches the Rfam family "MIR812 microRNA precursor family", at positions 27 to 190 of the family's 205-position model. The record is from Rfam by way of RNAcentral. Lineage: Eukaryota; Viridiplantae; Streptophyta; Magnoliopsida; Poales; Poaceae.
UACAAUGACUCUUCGUCUUAUUUGAAAUUUUUUGUGAUUAAUAUUUUUAUUCUUACUAGAUGAUAAAAAGAUGAAUAAUACUUUAUGCAUGACUAUUUUUUUAAGUUUUUUAUAAAAUUUUCAAAUAAGAUGAAUAGUCAAACGUUGGACAUGAAAAAAC